UCAAGCUACAAAGGGCGCAUGGUGAAUGCCUUGGCAUCAGGAGCCGAUGAAGGACGUGAUAAGCUGCGAUAAGCUUCGGGUAGGCGCACAUAGCCUGAGAUCCGAAGAUCUCCGAAUGAGGAAACUCACAUGGGAAACCCCAUGUAUCAUUAAGUGAAUACAUAGCUUAAUGAAGGUAACUCAGGGAACUGAAACAUCUAAGUACCUGGAGGAAGAGAAAGAAAAAUCGAUUUUCUUAGUAGCGGCGAGCGAAAGGGAAAGAGCCCAAACCGGAAACUUGUUUCCGGGGUUGAGGACAUAACAUAAAGAGAAGUAAUGGCUAAUUGAAGAGAACUGGAAAGUUCCACCGUAGAAGGUAAUAGUCCUGUAAAUGAAAGCUAGUAUAAUCGAGUUAUGAUCCAGAGUACCACGAGACACGUGAAACCUUGUGGGAAGCAGGGAGGACCACCUCCCAAGGCUAAAUACUACCUGAUGACCGAUAGUGAAGCAGUACCGUGAGGGAAAGGUGAAAAGAACCCCGGGAGGGGAGUGAAAUAGAACCUGAAACCGUGUGCCUACAACCGCUCAGAGCCCCUUAUGAGGGUGAUGAGGUGCUUUUUGUAGAACGAGCCAACGAGUUACGGUAUGUAGCAAGGUUAAGUACUUAAGGUACGGAGCCGAAGGGAAACCGAGUCUGAAUAGGGCGACUAGUUGCAUGCCGUAGACCCGAAACCGGGUGACCUAUCCAUGGCCAGGUUGAAGCGAGGGUAAAACCUCGUGGAGGACCGAACCACGUUGCUGUUGAAAAAGCAUGGGAUGAGCUGUGGAUAGCGGAGAAAUUCCAAUCGAACCCGGAGAUAGCUGGUUCUCUCCGAAAUAGCUUUAGGGCUAGCGUCGAGUAUGAGUAGUGGAGGUAGAGCACUGAAUGGGCUAGGGGGCAUAGCGCUUACCGAACCUUAUCAAACUCCGAAUGCCACAUACUUUGAGCUCGGCAGUCAGACUACGAAUGAUAAGAUCCGUGGUCAAAAGGGAAACAGCCCAGAUCGUCAGCUAAGGUCCCAAAGUGUAAGUUAAGUGGGAAAGGAUGUGAGAUUUCUAAGACAACUAGGAUGUUGGCUUAGAAGCAGCCAUUCAUUAAAAGAGUGCGUAAUAGCUCACUAGUCGAGAGAUCUUGCGCCGAAAAUGUAACGGGGCUAAACUUACCACCGAAGCUACGGGCUUGAACUUAGUUCAAGCGGUAGGAGAGCGUCGUAACCGGGCUGAAGUCGUACCGUAAGGAGCGGUGGACUGGUUACGAGUGAGAAUGUUGGCAUCAGUAGCGAGAUGUGGGUGAGAAUCCCACAGGCCGAAAACCUAAGGUUUCCUCAGGAAGGUUCGUCCGCUGAGGGUUAGUCGGGACCUAAGCCGAGGCCGAAAGGCGUAGGUGAUGGACAACUGGUUGAUAUUCCAGUACCACUACCAUCGUUAUUAUCGAUGGCGUGACGCAGGAGGAUAGUGUGUGCUAGCUAUUGGAUGCUAGUCUAAGCGUUUAGGCAGUGAGAGUAGGCAAAUCCGCUCUCAUAAUGCUGAGGCGUGAUGGGGAAGGUUCUACGGAACCGAAGUACAUGAUUCCACGCUGCCAAGAAAAGCGUCUAGAGAGAGAAGUAGUGCCCGUACCGCAAACCGACACAGGUAGGUGAGGAGAGAAUCCUAAGGCCGGCGGAAGAAUUACAGUUAAGGAACUCGGCAAAUUGACCCCGUAAGUUCGCGAGAAGGGGUGCCUACGAGAGUAGGCCGCAGAGAAUAGGCCCAAGCAACUGUUUAGCAAAAACACAGGUCUCUGCUAAAGCGUAAGCUGAUGUAUAGGGGCUGACGCCUGCCCGGUGCUGGAAGGUUAAGGGGAACACUUAGCGCAAGCGAAGGUGUGAACUUAAGCCCCAGUAAACGGCGGCCGUAACUAUAACGGUCCUAAGGUAGCGAAAUUCCUUGUCAGGUAAGUUCUGACCCGCACGAAUGGCGUAAUGACUUGGGCACUGUCUCAACUGUAAAUCCGGCGAAGUUGUAGUGCGAGUGAAGAUGCUCGCUACCCGCGAUUGGACGGAAAGACCCCGUAGAGCUUUACUGUAGCUUAGCAUUGAGUUUUGGUAUUGUCUGUACAGGAUAGGUGGGAGACUAGGAAACCAGGGCGUCAGCCUUGGUGGAGUCAACCUUGGGAUACCACCCUGACAGUACUGAAAUUCUAACUGGCGGCCAUGAAUCUGGUCACAGGACAUUGUUAGGUAGGCAGUUUGACUGGGGCGGUCGCCUCCUAAAAAGUAACGGAGGCGCCCAAAGGUUCCCUCAGAACGGUCGGAAAUCGUUCGAAGAGUGCAAAGGCAGAAGGGAGCCUGACUGCGACACCCACAAGUGGAGCAGGGACGAAAGUCGGGCUUAGUGAUCCGGUGGUACCUCGUGGGAGGGCCAUCGCUCAACGGAUAAAAGCUACCUCGGGGAUAACAGGCUGAUCUCCCCCAAGAGUCCACAUCGACGGGGAGGUUUGGCACCUCGAUGUCGGCUCGUCGCAUCCUGGGGCUGAAGUAGGUCCCAAGGGUUGGGCUGUUCGCCCAUUAAAGCGGCACGCGAGCUGGGUUCAGAACGUCGUGAGACAGUUCGGUCCCUAUCCGUCGCGGGCGUAGGAAAUUUGAGAGGAGCUGUCCUUAGUACGAGAGGACCGGGAUGGACUGACCUCUGGUGUACCAGUUGUUCCGCCAGGAGCACAGCUGGGUAGCUAAGUCGGGAAUGGAUAAACGCUGAAAGCAUCUAAGCGUGAAGCCAACCUCAAGAUGAGAUUUCCCAUAGCGUAAGCUAGUAAGAUCCCUUGAAGAACACAAGGUUGAUAGGUCGGGGGUGUAAGCAUGGUAACAUGUUCAGCUGACCGAUACUAAUAGAUCGAGGGCUUGACCAA
This 2902-nucleotide ribosomal RNA is filed under the name Clostridium perfringens. RNAcentral describes it as "bacterial LSU rRNA". It matches the Rfam family "Bacterial large subunit ribosomal RNA". The record is from RNAcentral. Lineage: Bacteria; Bacillati; Bacillota; Clostridia; Eubacteriales; Clostridiaceae.